This 465-nucleotide ribosomal RNA is filed under the name uncultured bacterium. Its description in RNAcentral is "partial 16S ribosomal RNA". It matches the Rfam family "Bacterial small subunit ribosomal RNA", at positions 339 to 795 of the family's 1533-position model. The record is from RNAcentral.
CUACGGGGGGCUGCAGUGGGGAAUAUUGGACAAUGGGGGAAACCCUGAUCCAGCAAUGCCGCGUGUGUGAAGAAGGCCUGCGGGUUGUAAAGCACUUUCGGUUGGGAGGACUGCUUCUAGCACUAAUAUUGUUGGAAGUUGACGUUACCUUCAGAAGAAGCACCGGCUAACUCCGUGCCAGCAGCCGCGGUAAUACGGAGGGUGCAAGCGUGAAUCGGAAUUACUGGGCGUAAAGUGCGCGUAGGCGGCUAGAUCAGUCGGGUGUGAAAGCCCCGGGCUUAACCUGGGAACUGCAUCCGAUACUGUCUAGCUUGAGUACAGGAGAGGAGAGUGGAAUUCCACAUGUAGCGGUGAAAUGCGUAGAUAUGUGGAGGAACACCAAUGGCGAAGGCAGCUCUCUGGCCUGAUACUGACGCUGAGGUGCGAAAGCGUGGGGAGCAAACAGGAUUAGAUACCCCGGUAGUC